Molecule: ribosomal RNA, 274 nt
Filed under: uncultured bacterium
Lineage: Bacteria
Description: partial 16S ribosomal RNA
Rfam family: Bacterial small subunit ribosomal RNA
Source: RNAcentral
AUACGGAGGGUGCAAACGUUGUUCGGAAUCACUGGGCGUAAAGGGCGCGCAGGCGGUUUGAUUAGUCAGAUGUGAAAGCCCACGGCUUAACCGUGGAAGUGCAUUUGAAACUGUCAGACUUGAGUAUCAGAGGGGAAAGUGGAAUUCCCGGUGUAGAGGUGAAAUUCGUAGAUAUCGGGAGGAAUACCGGUGGCGAAGGCGACUUUCUGGCUGAAUACUGACGCUGAGGCGCGAAAGCGUGGGGAGCAAACAGGAUUAGAAACCCCGGUAGUCC